CACCAACUAAUAUUAUGUUAGGUUUGUGUUUAAUAAACUAAAUGGACUUCCAACCAUGUUGGAAUUUAUUUUUAGAUAUCAAUUUUUUUGAUAAAUGCGUGUGAGUUCCUUGCACUUACCGACUAUAUUGGCUACUAGACAAUUUUCACAAUUUGAAAUUCAAAUAUUUUUUGAUAUUUUUGAUUAACAAUAUAUAAGUAUGAAAAUGCACUAUGCUUUAUUUUAGAAUAUCUCUAGAAGACUAGAACAUUGAUUUUCUAUCUUCAACAAUAAUUAAAUAAAAUAAAUAAAUUUAAAUAAUUUAUAGAAUAAAUUGCAUAGCAUUCUUUAAUUAUGUACAUGUAUUUUAAAACCUUUAAUCUUUUCAAAACGUUAUACCCUACUCUGUUCUCUAAUGACAGUCAGUAUCCAGAAUUAUUACUAUGUCUAGCACGAUCAAUAAAAUCCAUUAUAAUUUAUAAUUUCUAUGCAUCAGACAAAAGUGAUAAAAUGUCUUAAAAUAUUUGAUUUCAAAUACUUGUGUUGCAAAAUUUAAGAUAUUUGUGUAUAUAUUAUGGACUGCUGAAAUUCAAUUUGACAUCUAAUGUUUAAAUUCGAAAUAUUUCAAUUUCAUAUAUAGAAGGAUUUUCGAAUUCGUGUAUGUGCGAAUGGAUAAAACCAGAGGAACUUGUAUGAUAUGACCUUGGCCUUUUAUGUAUUGACCAGGUGACCAAACACUCUUAUUUAGUUAUUUAUAUACUAUAGAUUUAUAGAGGAAAGUAAUGUACAUCAAGACAUAGUGAUAUAUAUGCCGUGUCCACUUUAGAAUCAUUUCAUUUUCUUUUUCUCUUUUUUUUUUAUGUUUUAAAAAGGAAUCAUUUCAUUUUCAUUUUAACAUUAAUGUUUUUAGUAAAAAAUAAAUCCAAGACGCAUCUCAAUCCAAAUCUUUCUUUAUAGAUUCAGACUGUACACCGAAGGUGGAAAAUAAAAUUUGAACAGGUUGUGAUUUUAUUAAUAAUAAGACCAAAUUAAUUUUGUAAGGUUUUCGCUUCCAAGUUGAUACCUUAAUUUUCUUUAGCAAAUUAACAAAGAUACUAAUUUUUACCAAAUAAUUUUUAAUCAGAUAAACAGAUAACUAAUUUGUUUCAUUGAUGAUAAUAUAAGAACGCGUCAACACUCUGAUAUUCUAGUGAAUGAAUUUAUUAUUUGUAAGUCCUACAUUUGAUUUUGUUGCGUAGUACUAUGUAACAAAAAUAUGCUUCUAAGUUAGAGAUGUCAAAGGAACCUGUGGCCCGCGGGAUAGGCCCGUUUAGACCUGUGGCGGGGCGGGCUUGAGCCCGUGAUUUCACGUCCCGCAAAGAAGCGGGCCUCGCGGGAGAGGCUUGUCGCGGAACCGGACCCAAAGCGGGCAAGCCCACAGUGACCCGCGGGUUUCUUCAUGUCCCGCAACCCUAAUCUCUAUUCUUGUCAUUUGCUCUUCACCUGAAAAAAAAAUGCGAGAGAGAUAGAGUGAAAGGCGAUGUGGUUGCGACUUCCACCGUGGAAAGAAACAGAGCUCCACCGAUGACGACGGCGGUUCGCUCUCCCGACACUGCUUCUGCUCACUACUUUGUCUUCGAACUGCAGUCUGCAGCAGAGGAGCUAAAACGACAAGGGUCCGACAAAGUAGAUUCUUAUUCUCCGAUGUGUCUUCCGUUCUUCCCUAUGAGCUUCCAAACUCCACAGAUAGGACAUGCAUGUACAGAGUUAUGUAUUUCAGACAAAAAAUUGAAGUUCUUUUGGACUUAUAAUCUCUGCUUUAACUCUUGUUUUUUUUUUCAGGUUGUUAGAUAAGAAGACUAACAAGAUCCAAAAGGUAGUGAUCUAGCAUAGCGAUCUAGUCUUGUUGAUGAUACUGAUGUUUUGUGUUCUGUGUUGAGGUGAUGAAGUGAUGGUGAGAAAGUAGGCGACUUGGUCAUCUUCUUCUCCUCUUAGACAGCUUCAGGACAUCAGGGAAGCUUGACAUAAGUACACGUGAUGCAAAGGUGAAGAACUUGCGUGACAAGCUCAGUAUUCUGUUUGAGACAUACGACAAAAACUCCAAGAAUAACUCACCUUCCACUGAGCCACGUGACACUGUUCCGCAAAAAGCUUGUGCGGCAGGAUCAAUGGGACUGUUUGGGAACUACAAUGAUUUCUUUGCAUUUCGCAAAGUCAGUGGAAUUGUUAGUGGAAAGACACCUCUAGAAGCUUAUCUUGAAGAACCACCUUUGGACAUUACUAAUUUCCAGAGCUUGGACAUCCUCGAUUAGUGGAAAGAUAAUGCGCAUCGGUAUGGUGACUUGGCUGCAAUGGCAUGUGAUCUGCUAAGUAUUCCAAUCACAACAGUGGCUUCGGAGUCCUCCUUCAGUAUUGGAUCGCGAGUUCUAAACAAAUAUAGGAGUCGUCUACUCCCAGAAAAUGUGCAAGCUCUGAUAUGCACUAGGAAUUGGAUCAAAGGAUAUGAAUCUUACGCACAUGAUGAAGAAAUCGAUGGUGAUGGAGAAGAAGAGAAAUUACCAACAUUUGAGUCCAUUGUUGAUGGGGAAGAUGAAGAUGAGUAGAUGAGCAAGUUUGAAAUGUUAUCUUGAUUUGGUGUUUUGCUUCAAUUACAAUUUCUGAUUUCUUGUUUAAGUUGCAUGAUUUUUGGUUUUGAAUACUAUGAUUUGGACCAUUUGGUGUUUCUCUAAAUUUUACUUUAGUUGAGACUUAAUUUUUUA
Long non-coding RNA from Brassica napus (rape), 2717 nucleotides. RefSeq lists it as uncharacterized. The transcript has 4 exons. The record is from RefSeq and is a predicted model, not a curated record. Lineage: Eukaryota; Viridiplantae; Streptophyta; Magnoliopsida; Brassicales; Brassicaceae.